RNAcentral lists this transfer RNA (57 nucleotides) under Lethe sicelis. RNAcentral describes it as "tRNA-GLU". Lineage: Eukaryota; Metazoa; Arthropoda; Insecta; Lepidoptera; Nymphalidae. The record is from RNAcentral.
GUUUAAUUAAAACAUUACAUUUUCAAUGUAAAAAUAAAAAUUAUUUUUUUAUAAAUA